This 277-nucleotide long non-coding RNA is filed under the name Hordeum vulgare. RNAcentral's name for it is "long non-coding RNA (HVUL_LNC012138)". The record is from RNAcentral. Lineage: Eukaryota; Viridiplantae; Streptophyta; Magnoliopsida; Poales; Poaceae.
AUCUUUUGAGCUUAUAGGUUGCUUUAGUGAUUCACUUAUAUCUUUUAAAACACGGUGGCAUGUAGGUUUUACAAAAAUAAUUGCACUCUCGUUCUUCACUUAUAUUUGUCUGAGAGUUAAUAAAGAGGGAUACUAAUUUGCAUGGGUUUUAAGACUAGUACAAAAAUAGUAGGUAUUGAAUGAGUGCAUAAUCAAAACCACAUGUAGCACAUAUAAGAGAAAACAUGGUUACUUAUCUUAAUGUGGUAAUGUCAAAAAGAAUCAUUGGUUAAUAUAG